This 66-nucleotide transfer RNA is filed under the name Splendrillia sp. 1 MNHN IM 2013-9619. RNAcentral's name for it is "tRNA-Pro". Lineage: Eukaryota; Metazoa; Mollusca; Gastropoda; Neogastropoda; Drilliidae. The record is from RNAcentral.
CGAAGUUGUAGUUUAAAAAAAUAUUAGCAUUGGAAGUUAAAGAAUAGGAUGUGUCCUACAUUUCGA